This 253-nucleotide ribosomal RNA is filed under the name uncultured bacterium. RNAcentral describes it as "partial 16S ribosomal RNA". It matches the Rfam family "Bacterial small subunit ribosomal RNA", at positions 524 to 776 of the family's 1533-position model. The record is from RNAcentral.
UACGUAGGGUGCGAGCGUUGUCCGGAAUUACUGGGCGUAAAGAGCUCGUAGGUGGUUUGUCGCGUUGUUCGUGAAAACUCACAGCUUAACUGUGGGCGUGCGGGCGAUACGGGCAGACUGGAGUACUGCAGGGGAGACUGGAAUUCCUGGUGUAGCGGUGAAAUGCGCAGAUAUCAGGAAGAACACCAAUGGCGAAAGCAGCUCUCUGGGACGGUACUGACGCUGAGACGCGAAAGCGUGGGGAGCGAACAGG